GACAACUGUAGAAAUCCCAAGGUCCAGUUGGGAGAGUGUGUAAGGAGACAGUAUUCACCAUACAUCCCAAAGUGGUACUCUCGAACUAGAUGACUGCUCACCGAGUUUUCUUAUUGGUACAGAUCCUGGAUCUCUCAGGCAUGAGACUAGAGUGAAAGAGGAUAAAAUGUCUUCCUACCUUCUCUCUGGGUUGUUCCGUUGGAUGAACCCACGCAUGGGGUCGCUAAAGAAGCCAGAGUGGAGGCUGCAGGGAAUAUGGAUUUAAAUGAAUUUUGGCUGUACCAUCAAGCAGUCUGAUCACUGAGGAAAUAUCAAAAGCUUCACCCGAGUGACUCAUCACCCAAAUUCAACAGAGACUUGCCAAAGAAGCUGCUUAUUUCACAGAAGGACGGUGCUGGCUGAAAGAUGCUUCCUUGAAACUGAGAGACUGCUGCCUUAGACAGGUCUCCUUGAAGAGCACAAGAAUUACUUUCAGAUCAUCAGUGACUUAAUUGAACAAAUGACAAAGAUCUUGCCAAAAUCUGAGAAGAUGUCCUCUGACCUUCCUCACCAGGAGUGAAUAUAUGUCAAUUCGUAUAUCCAAAUCUAUGAAAAGGAACAUGAAAUGGGAUCAACUAAAUUAUAUUGAAGACAUAUACAGAUACAUUAAGCUUUGGAAAACAUCUGGACUUUGGAAUACUGGUCCACACGUCUUUCAGAGAGUCUUU
Non-coding RNA from Macaca mulatta (Rhesus monkey), 707 nucleotides. The record is from RefSeq and is a predicted model, not a curated record. NCBI's taxonomy places the organism in Eukaryota, Metazoa, Chordata, Mammalia, Primates, Cercopithecidae.